GACGAACGCUGGCGGCGUGCCUAAUACAUGCAAGUAGAACGCUGAAGAGAGGAGCUUCCUCUUCUUGGAUGAGUUGCGAACGGGUGAGUAACGCGUAGGUAACCUGCCUUGUAGCGGGGGAUAACUAUUGGAAACGAUAGCUAAUACCGCAUAACAAUGGAUGACACAUGUCAUUUAUUUGAAAGGGGCAAUUGCUCCACUACAAGAUGGACCUGCGUUGUAUUAGCUAGUAGGUGAGGUAAUGGCUCACCUAGGCGACGAUACAUAGCCGACCUGAGAGGGUGAUAGGCCAAGCUGGGACUGGGACACGGCCCAGACUCCUGCGAGGGGGAGCAGUAGGGAAUCUUCGGCAAUGGGGGCAACCCUGAACGAGCAACGCCGCGUGAGUGAAGAAGGUUUUCGGAUCGUAAAGCUCUGUUGUAAGUCAAGAACGGGUGUGAGAGUGGAAAGUUCACACUGUGACGGUAGCUGACCAGAAAGCGACGGCUAACUACGUG
RNAcentral lists this ribosomal RNA (497 nucleotides) under uncultured bacterium. RNAcentral describes it as "partial 16S ribosomal RNA". It matches the Rfam family "Bacterial small subunit ribosomal RNA", at positions 28 to 507 of the family's 1533-position model. The record is from RNAcentral.